UACAGAGGGGGCAAGCGUUGUUCGGAAUUACUGGGCGUAAAGGGCGCGUAGGCGGCCUGCUAAGUCGAACGUGAAAUCCCUGGGCUCAACCCAGGAACUGCGUCCGAUACUGGUUGGCUUGAAUCCGGGAGAGGGAUGUGGAAUUCCAGGUGUAGCGGUGAAAUGCGUAGAUAUCUGGAGGAACACCGGUGGCGAAGGCGACAGCCUGGACCGGUAUUGACGCUGAGGAGCGAAAGCGUGGGGAGCGAACAGG
This 253-nucleotide ribosomal RNA is filed under the name uncultured bacterium. RNAcentral describes it as "partial 16S ribosomal RNA". It matches the Rfam family "Bacterial small subunit ribosomal RNA", at positions 524 to 776 of the family's 1533-position model. The record is from RNAcentral.